Molecule: ribosomal RNA, 538 nt
Filed under: uncultured Pseudomonadota bacterium
Lineage: Bacteria; Pseudomonadati; Pseudomonadota
Description: bacterial SSU rRNA
Rfam family: Bacterial small subunit ribosomal RNA
Source: RNAcentral
AGAGUUUGAUCAUGGCUCAGAACGAACGCUGGCGGCGUGCCUAACACAUGCAAGUCGAACGAGAAAGGGGCUUCGGCUCCGAGUAAAGUGGCGCACGGGUGAGUAACACGUAGGUAACCUGCCUCUAAGAUUGGGAUAACCUGUCGAAAGACGAGCUAAUACCAAAUAAGACCACAGUCUCCUCGGGGACAGGGGUCAAAGGUAGCCUCUAUUUAUAAGCUAUCGCUGAGAGAUGGGCCUGCGUACCAUUAGCUAGUUGGUGAGGUAACGGCUCACCAAGGCCAAGAUGGUUAGCUGGUCUGAGAGGAUGAUCAGCCACACUGGAACUGAGACACGGUCCAGACUCCUACGGGAGGCAGCAGUGGGGAAUAUUGCGCAAUGGGCGAAAGCCUGACGCAGCAACGCCGCGUGAGUGAUGAAGGCCUUCGGGUCGUAAAGCUCUGUCGGAGGGAACGAAUGCUCUUGAGGUUAACAGCCUCGGGAAGUGACGGUACCCUCAAAGGAAGCACCGGCUAACUCUGUGCCAGCAGCCGCGGUA